UACAAUCGCAUAGUACCAAACAUCAACACUCCAAACACAAUAAAACAAGGUUCAAAUAGAUUCAUCACGACCAAAUCCAAAACGACUACCUCCACUAGAACCCCCAAUCUUGGUGGCAGAAUCGGACGGGGAGGAUCCGGGAACGGGCGGGGUGGUAGCAGGAUCCGACCGGGAGGAGCUGGUUCAGUUCCAGGAACGGGCAGGGUGGUAGCGGC
This 215-nucleotide long non-coding RNA is filed under the name Brachypodium distachyon (stiff brome). Its description in RNAcentral is "long non-coding RNA (BDIS_LNC001834)". Lineage: Eukaryota; Viridiplantae; Streptophyta; Magnoliopsida; Poales; Poaceae. The record is from RNAcentral.